MicroRNA precursor from Sorghum bicolor (sorghum), 105 nucleotides. It matches the Rfam family "MIR169 microRNA precursor family". Lineage: Eukaryota; Viridiplantae; Streptophyta; Magnoliopsida; Poales; Poaceae. The record is from Rfam.
UUAGCCAAGAAUGGCUUGCCUAUCUCCAUUAUUUGGUUCAUCAGAGGGACCUCUGAUCCCUCAUGAUGGAUGAAAUGUGGAUGAUGGCAGCCCUUCUGGCUAAGU